RNAcentral lists this long non-coding RNA (261 nucleotides) under Cucumis sativus (cucumber). Its description in RNAcentral is "long non-coding RNA (CSAT_LNC002388)". The record is from RNAcentral. Lineage: Eukaryota; Viridiplantae; Streptophyta; Magnoliopsida; Cucurbitales; Cucurbitaceae.
GAAGAUGAGUUGGGUGGAAAUAGGGAUAGAUUCUACUCAAACUCCAUAUGGGUAUUACCCAAAAUAGAGUAUGAAAUCAAAUGGAUGGUAAAGGGAAAGGUUAUGGUGUUGGUCUUACAAGGUCAAGAAAAGGUCUUACAAGGUCAAGAAGACUCCAUUUCAAAAGCUUAAAAAAAGAAACGGAAACAAGAAAAAAAUAAGAAAAAAAGAAAAACGAAACGUAUAAAAAGCUCAGUUAGGAUAGUGCCAUGGCUAGUAAGA